Molecule: ribosomal RNA, 301 nt
Filed under: uncultured bacterium
Lineage: Bacteria
Description: partial 16S ribosomal RNA
Rfam family: Bacterial small subunit ribosomal RNA
Source: RNAcentral
CAGUCGCCGCGGUAAAACGUAGGUCCCGAGCGUUGUCCGGAUUUGUUGGGCGUAAAGCGAGCGCAGGCGGUUAGAUAAGUCUGAAGUUAAAGGCCGUGGCUUAACCAUAGUACGCUUUGGAAACUGUUUAACUUGAGUGCAAGAGGGGAGAGUGGAAUUCCAUGUGUAGCGGUGAAAUGCGUAGGUAUAUGGAGGAACACCGGUGGCGAAAGCGGCUCUCUGGCUUGUAACUGACGCUGAGGCUCGAAAGCGUGGGGAGCAAACAGGAUUAGAUACCCCAGUAGUCCCUGUCUCUUAUACA